CCUACGGGAGGCAGCAGUGGGGAAUAUUGGGCAAUGGGCGCAAGCCUGACCCAGCAACGCCGCGUGAAGGAAGAAGGCUUUCGGGUUGUAAACUUCUUUUCUCAGGGACGAAGCAAGUGACGGUACCUGAGGAAUAAGCCACGGCUAACUACGUGCCAGCAGCCGCGGUAAUACGUAGGUGGCAAGCGUUAUCCGGAUUUACUGGGUGUAAAGGACGUGUAGGCGGGGACGCAAGUCAGAUGUGAAAACCACGGGCUCAACCUGUGGCCUGCAUUUGAAACUGUGUUUCUUGAGUACUGUAGAGGCAGACGGUAUUCCUAGUGUAGCGGUGAAAUGCGUAGAUAUUAGGAGGAACACCAGUGGCGAAGGCGGUCUGCUGGACAGCAACUGACGCUGAGGCGCGAAAGCGUGGGGAGCAAACAGGAUUAGAUACCCGAGUAGUC
This 443-nucleotide ribosomal RNA is filed under the name uncultured bacterium. RNAcentral's name for it is "partial 16S ribosomal RNA". It matches the Rfam family "Bacterial small subunit ribosomal RNA", at positions 338 to 795 of the family's 1533-position model. The record is from RNAcentral.